ACUGCUCAGUAACACGUGGAUAACAUGCCCUAAGGUGGGGGAUAAUCUCGGGAAACUGAGGGUAAUACCCCAUAGAUCUAGAAUGCUGGAAUGCCUCUAGGUCGAAAACUCCGGUGCCUUAGGAUUGGUCUGCGGUCUAUCAGGCAGUAGUGGGUGUAACGGACCCACUAGCCCGUGACGGAUAUGGGCCUUGAGAGAGGGUGCCCAGAGAUGGACUCUGAGACAUGAGUCCAGGCCCUACGGGGCGCAGCAGUCGCGAAAACUUCGCAAUGGGGGAAACCCCGACGAGGGAAUUCCAAGUGCUAGCACUUUGUGUUAGCUGUUCUCCUGUCUAAAAAACAGGAGAAGUAAGGGGCGGGUAAGACGGGUGCCAGCCGCCGCGGUAAUACCCGCGCCCCGAGUGGUGGUCGAUAUUAUUGAGCCUAAAACGUCCGUAGCCGGUCUUCUAAAUCCUUGGGUAAAUCGGGCAGCUUAACUGUCCGAAUUCCGGGGAGACUGGGAGACUUGGGACCGGGAGAGGUCAGAGGUACUUCUGGGGUAGGGGUAAAAUCCUGUAAUCCUGGAAGGACCACCGGUGGCGAAGGCGUCUGACUAGAACGGAUCCGACGGUGAGGGACGAGGCCCUGGGGCGCAAACGGGAUUAGAUACCCCGGUAGUCCAGGGUGUAAACGCUGCGGGCUUGGUGUUGGGGGUCCUUAGUGGGCGCCCAGUGCCGGAGAGAAGUUGUUAAGCCUGCUGCUUGGGGAGUAUGUCCGCAAGGAUGAAACUUAAAGGAAUUGGCGGGGGAGCAC
Molecule: ribosomal RNA, 791 nt
Filed under: uncultured Methanosarcinaceae archaeon
Lineage: Archaea; Methanobacteriati; Methanobacteriota; Methanomicrobia; Methanosarcinales; Methanosarcinaceae
Description: bacterial SSU rRNA
Rfam family: Archaeal small subunit ribosomal RNA
Source: RNAcentral